Long non-coding RNA from Etheostoma spectabile (orangethroat darter), 1204 nucleotides. RefSeq lists it as uncharacterized. Lineage: Eukaryota; Metazoa; Chordata; Actinopteri; Perciformes; Percidae. The transcript is spliced from 2 exons. The record is from RefSeq and is a predicted model, not a curated record.
UAAAGAAAUACAUAUGUUUAACAUGUGGAUGUAAUACUUAAGUGUUUCGUACUUAAAAAUGAUGACUAACCUUGUUAACAUAAAAGUUGCCCUUUUUUCUUUAAAGGUCAUAUGCACCUUUUGUGUUGAGAAAAGAUCUUUGAACCAUAAGCAAAGGGCCAGAGGGAGUAGUGAGGGAGGUUUGGGGGUUGUCUCAGUCUGUCCAAGGCUUUCACCAAUUACUCCUUUUUCUCUGUGAUUUGUCUUACUGAUACGUCUGAAAAUUGCUCAGAUGGGAUGAACCCAGACUCUGGCCUCCAAAGCUCCUGGGUGGUCAGUCUAUCAGCAGACACCAACUAUCUCCCUCAGCAUCAGUGUCACACCAGAGCCCUAAUCUAUUUGGCAAGCAAACGCCAUUGUUGUCAUUAGUCUCUGGAAGGCCUCUUGGGGGUCAGGAGUAGCUUGUUUGGUUACUGAGGCAGACAGAGCUGGCCCUAGAGGAACAUGAGGGUGAGGGUCAGUGUGGGUGUCUAAUGUGGCUUCAUGACUGACUGUUAUAUGACAUUAGAGUGUGUGAGAGCCUUGCUCGACACUAACAUAUGCGUAUGUUAUACAGCCCAGUCUUUAUUGCCAUUGUUGCUAUGGUGUUAUCACAUGGAGUUGCUGACAGAUGUUGGACCAGGCUGAAUGAAAUUGAUGUCUGAAUCUAAUGUGGACUGGGUGUUGCGUCGGUAUUGUUUACACCCAACCAAUGAGAAUUGCUGGGAAUUUGUGUGUGUGUCUCUCAUGCUUUGAGCAUGAUCAUUUACAGCUUUUUCAUCACAAAAUCUAUUUGAACGUGUUUUUCUACUUUGACAUUUAUAUUAUGCUCACAUGUGUUAGUUAUCAGGAGAAGAGGUCCUGUGUAGACCUGUGAUAUCUUGCAGCUUGCAUGUCCCAUGGACAUAUGCAUGGACACCUUAGCCUCAAACAGAAUAGAAACACACUGGGUUCAUAUAAUUAACUAUAUGCAGACAAAGAGACUAUUAGCCAUAAAUACCUAAAAGAAACAAAAGAAUGACACAAGGAGUCAAAGACAUCUGGAUCCCUUACAGGCAUACCCCGUAUCCUGGCAAAGAAACCAGCAUCAGCUUUACAUUUCAUCAGACCACCACACUACCACUACCACCGCAAGCAAUUAGUUCAGCAUGGCUUAUAUCUUGCCCUGUCUCUUUCCCUGUGGGAA